UUUUCAGAAAUGUCCCCAAGCUGACAUCUUGCUAUGAGAUGCUUGGUGGGCAGACCGGGAAGAUGGGGACCCCUCUAAGGAUGCGGCAAGCCACUGAGGCCCGGGUGCUGGAGACCAGGGAUGGCCCCUUCACUUACCCUCAUUGAUAUCUGAAGUUUUUCAGAAGCCUUCACCAGGGCCACUGUCCCGGGGUGCAGAGCCCCGCCCUGGGAUAGUUUGCCAGAGCUGCUUCGAAGCCCCUCCGCUCCCUUCCCUCGGGGUCUGGGGACUCACCCCUCGCGCUUGUCCAGCUGCUCUCCCUCUGCCGUGGUAUUGCAUCUCUCGUGGAAGAAGGAUUCCAUUCUCCCAAGGAAGCGAGUCUCCUGCGUGCGGAAGAGCCACUGGCCAGGACGCCCCCGGGUCAAGCUACAACAAGGAACGUGGAGCCGCCAGUCCCUUUUCCGGCUUGGCCAUUUUCUAGGAACUGGGAAGCCAACCUUCAUGAGAACCCACACCAGCAAGACCUUGCCCAGGCUCACCCCUUCCCAGCCUGGGCUGAGCUUUAGCUAUCUGGAAAAGGAUCUGCUAGCAGGACCAGGGGCGCUGGUCCCCUGAACCCACACUCCCAUGACUCCCCCUCUAAAUAUUCAGUACUCUACUUUCAGGAAGGAGAUUUGAGUUCAGGCAGCCAAAGAAAAGCCUCCAGAGGCAAAGGUUCCCGUAAUUCCUUCAUAAGCGGGCUGGCCUUCAAUGGAGCCCCACUAUGUCCUUAAAACUAGGAAAGAGGAAAUUCUUCCUACCUCCUCCGUUUGGUCCCAGAGCUUAGCUCUCACCCCAAGGUUUUUCCAUUUACCAUCAACAUGGAAACUUGGCUCUUCACAAGGGUAUAUUCUCCCUCUUUCGUGCAUUAUCUUGUUCCUCAAAACUGCCCUUCUGUGAAAGAGGCCUGUGGGACCUAAGGAGCCUGGUCAGCCACCCAGGCCCCAAUAAAGUCCCUCAUACCUCAGGAGAGAGCGGGAAGAGUUUAAUAAAGGCGUGACAGCACGCUUUACUGCCUGAGCUCGCAUUUGGUGUGCUGAUUCACAAGCAAAGCCCUGGAUCCCAUUUUCCUUCCCACACCAAUCAGAUGGAUUUGUGUUUGUACUAGGGAGGGACCUGGGCUACGAGGAUGGCUGUGAUAGGGGGUCACCCUGGCCCUCCCACCUCCCCCUCUGAAUAAUGUUCAGGAUCUUAGGGACUUGACACCAGUUUACUUGACACCUGGCAAGGUUUCUCUGCGUAUUUGUGUUAGGGCAAGGACUAAAGGGAAUGGAUAUAUCCUGCAGAACAUCAGGCCUUCAGAGGAUGUGGGAGGAGGAAAUAGCAAUUGAUUUAUGAUUUUUGAAACUUUGUUCUGGUCUUUGAAUGAAGUCAAAAAAACUAUUGGGAGCAGAUUUCUAGUGUGAGAGAGGUGGUGUCCUAACUGAAGUGUGAGAAGGUUGCUAGUGACAUAACUCAGGUUAUUACGGUUUAGAUACAGGGUGUAGCCCAAAAGCUCAUGUGUGAGGCAACGCAAGAGGAUUUAGAGGUGAAACAACUGGGUUAUGAGAGACUGGAGCUAAUCAGUGCUGAUCCACUGAUAGGGAUUAACUGGUUGGUGAUUGUAGGCAGGCAUCUGAGGAGAUGGGCGUGCGUGCCCUUGGAAUUUAUGAAUUCUCCCAGCUGCUUUCCUCUGCCACAUACUUCCGCCACAGUGUUCGGCCUCACUGUGAGUCCCUAGGAAUGGAAUUGGCUGUCCAUGGACUGAGACUAUGUGAGACCGUGAACCCCCAAAUAAACUCUUCCUCCUCUGA
This is a non-coding RNA of Ictidomys tridecemlineatus (thirteen-lined ground squirrel), 1811 nucleotides long. NCBI's taxonomy places the organism in Eukaryota, Metazoa, Chordata, Mammalia, Rodentia, Sciuridae. The record is from RefSeq and is a predicted model, not a curated record.